Long non-coding RNA from Xenopus tropicalis (tropical clawed frog), 334 nucleotides. RefSeq lists it as uncharacterized. The record is from RefSeq and is a predicted model, not a curated record. The transcript has 3 exons. Lineage: Eukaryota; Metazoa; Chordata; Amphibia; Anura; Pipidae.
AGGACUGCAUAUGAGUUCCCUGUCUGUCCCCUCCAUUUAUUACUGACUUCAGUUGAGCAUAGCAGAGGAGAUGCAUAGGCCAAGUCAUGGACCAACUUGGGCAUACAUGUGAUAUUAUGGGAUGCACCCCAGGCUGUUACACCAGAAAAGAAAAAAGGACCACCAAGUAAUCUUCAUUGUAAUGACAGUGCUUCAAAAGAGACAGUGGUCUUUGUCCCCUGCUGGGCUGCUGUUUUGACUGGAAAAGAGAACAGCACGGAGGACAGAACCCCACAUUGAUGCUGCUAAUAAAAUCCUCUGAGGUAGAUUUAUUACUCCAUGAAAUAAGGCAAAG